RNAcentral lists this ribosomal RNA (465 nucleotides) under uncultured bacterium. Its description in RNAcentral is "partial 16S ribosomal RNA". It matches the Rfam family "Bacterial small subunit ribosomal RNA", at positions 338 to 795 of the family's 1533-position model. The record is from RNAcentral.
CCUACGGGUGGCAGCAGUGGGGAAUAUUGCGCAAUGGGCGAAAGCCUGACGCAGCGACGCCGCGUGAGGGAUGAAGGUCUUCGGAUCGUAAACCUCUGUCAGCAGGGAAGAACGGUCACUGUGCUAAUCAGCAGUGAAUUGACGGUACCUGCAAAGGAAGCACAGGCUAACUCCGUGCCAGCAGCCGCGGUAAUACGGAGGGUGCGAGCGUUAAUCGGAAUUACUGGGCGUAAAGCGCUCGUAGGCGGUAUGUCAAGUCAAGGGGGAAGUCCCCGCGCUCAACGUGGGAACUGCCUUUGAAACUGGCAAACUGGAGUGUUGGAGAGGAUAGUGGAAUUCAAGGUGGAGGAGUGAAAUCCGUAGAUAUCUGGAGGAACAUCAGUGGCGAAGGCGACUAUCUGGCACAUAACUGACGCUGAGGAGCGAAAGCGUGGGUAGCAAACAGGAUUAGAUACCCUGGUAGUC